UACAGAGGGUGCAAGCGUUAAUCGGAAUUACUGGGCGUAAAGCGCACGUAGGCGGCUUGGUAUGUCGGGUGUGAAAUCCCCGGGCUCAACCUGGGAACUGCAUCCGAAACUGCCCUGCUCGAGUAUGGGAGAGGGAAGUGGAAUUUCCGGUGUAGCGGUGAAAUGCGUAGAUAUCGGAAGGAACAUCAGUGGCGAAGGCGACUUCCUGGACCAAUACUGACGCUCAGGUGCGAAAGCGUGGGGAGCAAACAGG
RNAcentral lists this ribosomal RNA (253 nucleotides) under uncultured bacterium. RNAcentral's name for it is "partial 16S ribosomal RNA". It matches the Rfam family "Bacterial small subunit ribosomal RNA", at positions 524 to 776 of the family's 1533-position model. The record is from RNAcentral.